GCAUAGUAAAAAAGUGUCUAACUGUUUCAAAAACUUAAUUUGGCCGUUCCAACUGGUAUACAUGGAUAGGUCGAAAAGAGAGAAACUUUUUAAAUUGUCAGGGGUGAAGGAAAAGGCAAGGAAAAAUCCCAAAUAUUUUUAGAUGUUCGGUUUUAGGGUUUCUAUGACUUGGGGUUUGUAAGACGUUUAUAUACGUAGUCUGUAUUUCUGUCCAGGGUUAGGGUUUCAGUUUACUUUUUUUCUUUCCCCUUGAUGACAUUCUGCUGAUAUUUUUCUUAUCGCAGCUUAAGAAAUGGUGAAAUUAUCAGGUGCUGCAAAUGUGUUUCAUAAAGUUCGAUGGAAAAUUGUUCCAGAUUUUUGACGAGAAUGGACGGAAUUGGAAAGAUCGGUCCCAUUUUGUCGUUGUGUUCAUCCGACAAUGACAUUUACAUACACAUCAGGCGACAAGCAGAACCACAAAGACACUGCGUUAUUUCAGGGCCUCCCCGAUAUUGUUAUUGGGGAUAUUAUCGAAAGGACAACUCCCAGACAGGCAGGGGAGUGGGACGUUCGCAUGGGAAGAUAUUAUAUCGAGGAUUAUAUGUACAUCGUUUACAUAGAUGAGGUUCACUGGUUCACUCGAAUCACAAUUUGGGGGACAAUCAGUUUGUAUAGGCAACUAUGACCACUAUAUUUUGCCCAUACGUAUUGGCCAACAACUCUCCCUCGGUUUCACAUCAUGUGUGCUGUGAGACCCCAUUGGAGACAUGGAUGGGCUUUGGUGCCAUGCUUUGAUGACAGUAUCGCCGAUGUCACGACCUUCUUUCCAUGGAACUUCGUUAUUUUGGACUACACCCACUUUUUCAUUGUUGUUUAUGAUAGUCCUCGGCCAACAUUGAGGUUUGACAGGAUACAAAUUAGAUUCCCAAUGCAGAGGAGGUCCUCAUUAAAAUUGUAUAACUGUUCCUUUAUGAUUGACGAUUAUAUGUACAUCGUUUACAUAGAUGUAUGUACACCGUUUACAUAGAUGAGGUGCGUUUGUUCACCUAAAUCACGAUUCGGGGGACGGUCAGUUUGUAUAGGCGACUAUGGCCACUAUAUUUCUCCCUUACGUACUGGUCAGUGACUCCCUCGAUUUCACAUCAUGUGUGCUGUGAGACCCCAUUGGAGACGCGGACAGGCCUUGGUGCCAUGCCCCAAUGACAGUAACAUCGAUGUCACGACCUUCUUUCCAUGGAACCACGUUAAUUUGGAUUACACCCCCUUUUUCAUUAGUUAUGAUAGUCCUCGGUCAACAUCGAGGUUUGUCAGGAUACAGUGUAGAUUCCCAACGUAGAGGAGGUCCUUUCAUUAAAAUUGUAUAAUUGUUCCUCUAUGACUAUGUUCUUUUUAUAAAACGGUUCAUUUCUAUGGUUACAUAGACGAUCAUCAUACGUCGUUUGUCUCGAUUAUGUUUACAAUUUAUAUGUUUGUCGCGAUUAUGUUUACAAUUUAUAUGCUUGUCUCCAUACACUUUAUAUUUCUACAAACCAACACACUUUAUAUGUUAAUUUACUUUUUGUGAAACCUUAAUACGAUUUAUACGAUAUAAUUAAAAUUUUAAAAUACUGCAUUACAAACAUGCUUUACCUAUCAUUGUCACGCGAGUAGGUUAAGCCAAAGGGCUUAUUUAUUAUUAAUGAGGGUCCCCAAGAUGUGUUUACGUUGGUGAGAUUAUUAAAUUUAUAUGUAACUAAAGAAUAGUCCAAGGACAACAAUUUGAAACUAUAUGCCUAAUUUAUUGAAUUAGGAAAACAAGUUUCAGUUUUAUUUGAAUACUUCAAUUCCAUCAAAAAGUCUAAAAAUAAAAUGUGAGAGCAUGUGGGAAGUAUGGCUGCAUUACCGCUGGCCAUAUCUUUACAUAGAUUUUAAUAAUAGCUAUAUUUUUAGAAGGGGAGAACUAUUAAAUAUUAAGAUCAGAGUGUAAAUAAAACAUUUAAGCGAUGAAAAAUAAAUGACUUGUAAUUACGAUACAAAAUUUUGUCUAUAGACUAAAGUUUAGAGAUUUUUCAUAAUUAAUAAAAAUAAAAUUUGAACUACAAUAGCUAAAUUUUCUUUAGUAAUAGGGCUACAAAACUUUAGAAAGUAGAUAAUUAGAAAUAAAAAUAAAAUUUGAAUUACAAUAGCCAAAUUUUCUUUAGUAAUAGGGCUACAAAACUUUAGAAAUAGAGAAUUAAAAAUAUUAGAAUUAUAAACUUCGUCUGCACUCUUAAUCUCUCCUUUUUUCAAUACAAUUGUUAUACUACUUGAAAUGUUGUUUAAUUAAAAUUAGGUUUCUAUUGUAUUAAAAUUUGUAGAAAUUAAUAAUUAUAAAUGUAUUUUUAAAAUUUACAAUUUACUUUAUUUGAAAUGGACAAGCUAAAUUUUCAAAUCAAUGGUUGAGGGUUGAAGAUAUCCAAUGCAAGAUGAUUGGAUAGAUCUAGGUCGUCUUUUUCUCGCUCAUGAUUUUCCACUCGUCGUGCCUUUUCACUCUUGUUUGAGAUUCAAUCUUUUGUGUCGUUUACAAUGAAAGCAUCGUUUGAAUACGCCAACUUUUACAGUCUCAUAGUCGUAAUAGCAUUUGUCACAGGAUUGCAACACAAUAUAUACACCUCCAAUUGGAAUGUAGUACAAAACAUAAUUUUGUGAACUGUGAAAUAUGACAAUGCCUUAAAGCUCGUGUUGUUCAUGGAAUUCGUGCCAUGUCUCGCUGUAAAUGUGUAACAACACGUGGCAAUUGUUUUGUGAAGCUCUGGAUUCAAAGUGUAUAAUUAUAAAUCUGUUUUGAGAACGGUUGGAAUUUGGCGAUUGUUCUGUGAAGCUUUGGAUUCAAAGCGUGUAAUUUUGUCGAGAGGCAUCUACAAUGACAUACCGUAAACAAAAAAUGGAUUUGAAUAAAUUUGAAGUGUAGAUGACAAGCAAAUGCAUGCAUGUUUUAGUUUCUCUAUAAGUAGUAUUUUUAUUACUCUAAAUAAAAUUGAAUAAGAUGCAUUUUUUCGAUAAAAUAGAGUAUGCUUUUUUUUUUAUUUCGGCCAAAAGCGUUCCUUCAGACUAUGCUCUCCUAAUAUACUAGCAAACCCGUGUUGUCUACACAAAUUACUGUGUGGAAAAGCGUCGUUGUGUUUACUGUGUUUUGAAUUUACAUUGUAUAUCUUGGCAUUUAUCACUACUUCAACUUAUUUUACUCCCUUUUGACUGGGUUCAUCUUUACUCUCGUUAAUUUGGGUUAUAUGUUGCUUGGCUUAUAUUUUUUUAUAAAUUUUUUAGCAAUGUUUCCUAAUACCUUUUGUUUCAAUAUGAUUUCUAAAUAUCUAUAAUUAUUAGCGGUAUAGUUAUAAGCUAUAAAUCUUUGCCUACCAGAUGGUACAAUGGAAUUUUUGCAUAAAGUUGUAAUUGAUCUUUUGUGAAAUACAAGUAUAUAGAGGCUUAUGCCUUUUAUUUAAAAAUAAUAAUAAUAAUAUAUAACAUUAAAACAAUAAAAUUAUAUAAUUUAAAUGAGCUCAACAUAUGCACCCCAUAAUUCAUAGUCAAAAAACUAAUGCCAAAAUAAAACCUAGUCGGAAAUACCUCAAUGGUCAUACAAGCAUCUCUAUAAUAGCAUCUAGAAUACACUAUCAAAACACCUUGAUGACAUAAUAAAUCUCAUAAUUUUUUAGUUGAAUGGAUUGCAUCACAUGAAGCAUAUAAUAAUGUGUGGGGGAAAAAGCGAGACUAGGUUAUCAUGCCCUAACCCUACCUUUUGUCACACAUUACGGAAUACGAAAGAGCCUAGAGGUAUCACACAAUUGGCUACUUCUUUUUGUGAAAGAGAGAGCCACGGGCUACCUAUUAGGGUUUCUAUUCCUUUGUUGUAAUUGAAAGGUAAGAUUAUGCAAGUCCAAUUCCUAACCCUAAAAUGUAAAUAUGAACUAACAACAAGAUUGCAGAAUUGAACUUAGACAAUGGAAAGCUGUAAAUACAAGGAUGAAAUAAGAAUGCAGAUGUGUAUCCGGAGUCAAAAUCGGACUGAAAAUGUGCGGGACGGGGGCGCGGGCGCCACUGCCCUGAAAACUGCACCGGAAACUGUUGUUCUGCACUUUGAAACAAUGUCGGAAAGCUGUCUGUCCGGAGGACCAGGGCACCCAGCGCCUCUGUCCCAGGGACCAGGGACCAGGGCGCCCAGCGCCCCUGUCCCAGUCUUCUGCUCUGCAAUUUGAUACAGAGUGCUGUCUCGACCUGUUCUCUUCGGAUCUGUAUCCUGCGGUGUCGUCCGAGUCCUGAACCUGCACUUAUAUCUGAAAAAUGGGAUGGGCGGCUAUAUAGGGUUUUGCCUUAGUCAAACCCCCGCUUCGGUGAUUUCCACCUCCACGAAUAGCCAAGUUGUUUUGUAAAAUGUAUUGUGUGUGCAGACCUAGUGUGUGUGCAAGGUCCCUGACAGGGCGCCAUGGUCCCAAUCAGGGCUUGGCAUACGAUGUUCGACAGUUUGCAUGAGCGAUUUUGAUGAUCGAGUACUGAUUACGGUUAUGCUUUUGUG
RNA transcript from Cryptomeria japonica (Japanese cedar), 4510 nucleotides. RefSeq lists it as uncharacterized. Lineage: Eukaryota; Viridiplantae; Streptophyta; Pinopsida; Cupressales; Cupressaceae. The record is from RefSeq and is a predicted model, not a curated record. The transcript is spliced from 4 exons.